UCACAGCCAUCCCGUUCUCGUUCUCAUUAGCUCUUAAUUGAGUUCACCCGCACGUGCGGCGACGCAUUAUUUUGCGUUGAUCCCAAACGCGUAUUAAAAUGGUCCCGCGGUUGCUUGUUUGCUUUUUGUGCGCUUUUGACUGAACAAUCCGGACAACGUGGCCACCAACGGGGGAGCGAGGACGCCCGCAUUGUUUGUCAAAUUCAGGACUGGCGCUGGAAGCUGUAGGUGGAGGGAAGACCAGGAGUGGUGCAGCUCUGCAGAUGCUGAAGGGGACUGAGGCGACGCAGUCGGAGGUCCCUGCGGUGGCGGUCAGCGGGAGGUGUCAAGACCAACCAGCUCCUCGUCCAGGAAAGGUCACGAUGGAAGAGCAGAUGGCUGUGCAGUUGCCAUGGUGGAGAGACCCAGAGUACGAUGACCGAACAGUUGAUCUACAACGAUGGCCUACUCCCCAUCCACCCUGAGGAUCCCUGGCUACACCUACAAUCCAAUCUACCCCAGACAUAACCACUCGGAGCUCAACAACUCCUGCAACUCCCCCUGCCUCCUACUCACCAGACUGUUAACACUUUACCAUUUGAACUUUAAAACAAAGUACUGUAAUUCACACCAUGUUGUAGGAAAAGCAUGUUUAGAAUGACUUGUACAUUUUAUUUCUGUGACCCCAACUAUUGUAUUUCUAACCCAGUUACCUCUGAACCCUCUUUCUAAGGGAGCGACUAAAGGGACAAAGCUGGAGCUAACCUGAGCUUAACAAUCUUUCUAAUCUUUCUUUCUAAUGUACUAAAUUGAAUCAUAUAAAAGGCCUAAAGUAACUUGUUUAACAAAACAAAAAGCCAACCUUAUCCCCAAACUUAACCAUCAAACUAAAGAUCUCAAAUGCCUAAACUCUCUUACCUUAACCGAGUACCUAAACCGAACCAUUUAACUAAACAUCUCGAAGGCCUAAACUCGCUUACCUCAACCUAACCUAAUCCCAAAACUUGACCAUCUAACUAAAGAGCUCAAAUUCCUAAACUCGCUUACCUCAACCUAACCUAGUACCCAAACCUGACCAUCUAACUAAAUAGCUGAAAUGCCUAAACUCUUACCUUAACCUAGUACUUAAACUUGACCAUCUAACUAAACAUCUCAAAUACCUAAACUCUUUCCUAAUAUCUAAACAAUCUUUAAUGCAAUCACUAAUGCCUAAACUUAACCAAACACCAAUAAUAAAAGUUAACCAUCCUUAAUCUUAAACCCAAACCAGAAUUGUCCCUGGGUCGCUCCACUUUGUUUCUUUAAAGGUAUCUCUUUUCCCCUGCAUCUGUGUUUUAUUCCUUGAGGACUCCAAGUGCUUCAGAUGAUUUUUGAAAACUUGUUUAAUUAAUAAAGAUACUUUAUCUUUACAGAUUUUGUUUUGGGGAAUUGGGACAGCUGAGCAGCUUAAGCAUACUUACUGGUGAACUUGAUCUGUAGAUAUCAAUUUUAGGACUAUGAAGCCAAUAACAUAAGGCCGGAUAUGUGACAAGUCGGUAGACAUUGAUCGAGGAGUUAAUUGGUAAAUAUCUAACAUGGAACCAAAUGCCUUUUAUUUGAUCUCUUACCAGGCUAUCGCAGUAGGGGAAUCUGAAGGAGUACCAUACUGUGUUGCAUGGGUUCUUGUUAGAUUGCAUUAUGGCUGAGGCCAUUGAUCAAGAUUGUUAAUUUGAAGAAUAUGAAUAAAGAGUACUUGAAGUGGAUUGUUAAAUGAUUUUCAAAUUUGUUACAAUACAGAAAUCAGUUUUGAAUGCAUCUAGGUGAAGUGGUUAUUGGUACUAUAAAGCACCAAGAAUAACAGGCUAUGUAUAAAUAAUGACCACCAUAUUUUCUGUUUAAUAAAACAAAUUGU
Gadus chalcogrammus (walleye pollock) is the source of this 1870-nucleotide long non-coding RNA. RefSeq lists it as uncharacterized. The transcript is spliced from 5 exons. Lineage: Eukaryota; Metazoa; Chordata; Actinopteri; Gadiformes; Gadidae. The record is from RefSeq and is a predicted model, not a curated record.